This 330-nucleotide long non-coding RNA is filed under the name Struthio camelus australis. Its description in RNAcentral is "lncRNA (ENSSCUG00000015618.1)". Lineage: Eukaryota; Metazoa; Chordata; Aves; Struthioniformes; Struthionidae. The record is from RNAcentral.
AUCUCAUAGCUUUUAUAAUCUUUGCUGGUUUUUGACCAGAGUUGUCACCUCUGCAGAUCCUGUUCCUGGAGCCACUCUUUCUCUCCCACGUCUGAUCCGAUGCCCAUUUCCAAAUCUCAGGCCAAGUGGGAAGAAUGCCUGCAACUGUCCAGGCUGAUUCUGCAGUCUUAACAAAUGGUUCUUCACUCAAAGCCAGACCUCCUCUUUAUUACAUGAUUAGACCAGUGACCGUCAGCUGUGCACCCCGAGUGCAAUAAUGUUACAGCACAUUGGCAAAAAGGCAACCUUGAGACUUAUGUGGCCCCAGAUGAGAAUAAGCAGGACAGUCAG